Molecule: long non-coding RNA, 461 nt
Organism: Oncorhynchus tshawytscha (Chinook salmon)
Lineage: Eukaryota; Metazoa; Chordata; Actinopteri; Salmoniformes; Salmonidae
Source: Ensembl
GCAGCAUCUUCAGUUGUGCAUGAAGAAUUGUGCAUACAGUAGCACGUUUGUAUGAAGGUGUGGUUAUUCUCAGGUAAAUUGUUAUGUGCUCUGGAGGUACAUUUGUUUCUUUUUGUCAAGAGCAAACCUUUUUUAUUUUCAAUCCAAAAUAAUUGUUCUGAAAGCAACUUUUUUCAAACACAAAGGAAGUCAAAGCGAACACCUAUGAAGAUGGCAUCUCAGGUAAGCAGCACUGGGCUGUAUUGACGGAUCCUAAAGAUGGCAUCUCAUCAGGUAAGCAGCACUGGGCUGUAUUGACGGAUCCUAAAGAUGGCAUCUCAGGUAAGCAGCACUGGGCUGUAUUGACGGAUCCUAAAGAUGGCAUCUCAUCAGGUAAGCAGCACUGGGCUGUAUUGACGGAUCCUAAAGAUGGCAUCUCAGGUAAGCAGCACUGGGCUGUAUUGACGGAUCCUAAAGAUGGC